This 479-nucleotide ribosomal RNA is filed under the name uncultured bacterium. RNAcentral describes it as "partial 16S ribosomal RNA". It matches the Rfam family "Bacterial small subunit ribosomal RNA", at positions 28 to 507 of the family's 1533-position model. The record is from RNAcentral.
GAUGAACGCUGGCGGCGUGCUUAACACAUGCAAGUCGAGCGAGAAGUUUUGAAAAGAUUCUUCGGAUGAAAUUUAAAAUGGAAAGCGGCGGACGGGUGAGUAACGCGUAGGCAACCUGCCCCAUACAAAGGGAUAGCAUUUGGAAACGAAUAUUAAUACCUUAUGAAACUUAACUAGUGCAUGCUAGGUAGGUCAAAGAUUUAUCGGUAUGGGAUGGGCCUGCGUCUGAUUAGCUAGUUGGUGAGGUAACGGCUCACCAAGGCGACGAUCAGUAGCCGACCUGAGAGGGUGAACGGCCACAUUGGAACUGAGACACGGUCCAAACUCCUACGGGAGGCAGCAGUGGGGAAUAUUGCACAAUGGGGGAAACCCUGGUGCAGCAACGCCGCGUGAACGAGGAAGGCCUUUGGGUCGGAAAGUUCUGUUCUAGGUGAGGAAAACUGACAGUAACCUAGGAGAAAGCCCCGGCUAACUCCGUG